Homo sapiens (human) is the source of this 642-nucleotide long non-coding RNA. RefSeq lists it as uncharacterized. The record is from RefSeq and is a predicted model, not a curated record. The transcript has 4 exons. Lineage: Eukaryota; Metazoa; Chordata; Mammalia; Primates; Hominidae.
UGACAAAAACUCAAAGAAAUGCAUAACCACAAGGGCACCAUAACCUAUGAAUGACAUGCUGAGACUGGAAACCCAAAAUGAUGGUAACAAAGUGGUGGUAAUGCCUUACAUUUUUGUCACAUUCUCACCCAGAACAAUUUCUCCACCUGGAGUAGUGAAGUUGGAGCACAGUAUGAGGUGUUUUUAGCCACAAGAGGGCAAAAGUCUUGGACAUGAAAUUUUUGAAAUGGGUACAAGCUGGAACCUGCACCUGUGCCGCCUAUAACCUAAGACUAAGUGAAAACUUACACCGAAGCCAAUGACAACAUGAAUGAGAGCUUACCAUAACUGGCACAUAUCUUCACAUAAGCAUCAUAUAAAGAGCAGCAGAUGUUAGUGACAGAAGCUGCGUGCAAAAUAUGCAGAAGAAUAUCCUCAUUACUUCUAUUGCUUACAAGAUUUCAUCCAAGAUACUACAUUACAUUUAAUGUUCAUGUCUCCUGAUUCCUCUUGAUUUUCCUUGCUUUUAAUGACCUUGACAAGUUUUGAGGCAUACUGGUCUGGUAUACUGUAGGAUGCCCUCUGUUGGAAUUUGUAAAAUUUCAAUAUAAUUAGAAUAAAUUUCACAAAUCUAUUGAUUAUGUGAAAGUUGUCAGAAUCAAA